AAAUUAAAGAAGGCAUUUCUAGUCAGAAACAAGCAAAAAAUGGUGAAUGCAGAGUAUCAGAAGCCCAAGGUACAGAAAUUAUGAGAAGUGUCGAAUGAUUUUAAGGAAAGAGUCGCAUUUGAAAAUGCAAGACUCUUUAGUGGAGGUCAAGCAAGUCAGUAUAGGUAGAAUACUUUGCAAAAUUAUGCGAGUGAGGGGAUGUCAAACAAUGGGUCAGGAAAUGCGUUAUUUUUCUGCAAAACAAAAGCUGAUUGCCAUUACAUAAGUCGCUUUAGCAUCAUGAGACUGCUGCUUGAUAAAUUCAGAAAUAAACCAAAAAACAAGACACGCAAAAAUAAAAAACAAUUUAAUGAUGCUCUCUCCACACUGGGAUAAAUAAAAACAAACACAUCACAUCUAAUGUGGACAUAUCAGACGCCUUGUGAAACACUAAAGGAAAAAUUCAGUUUCGAGCUAUGGCACUUGCCGCAUAGGUGUGGGGGGCCUUGCACUAAUAGUGAUAGUUACCACUGCAUUUAGAAAUUGAAAGCAUUCAUGAAGACAAGGAUGAUUCUUUAUAUUUUUGGCUACCACUUCAAAUGCCUCCAGCAAGUGUUACAAUGCUGCGCGCAGCCAUACUAAGGAUCUCGCAGCAACACCUGCAGGUAAAAAGCAAAAGCAGUCAAAGUGCUGGUGUAUUCUGGACACUAUGUUCGAAAACUUUUAGGCAAGAAUAGUGCAAGAAGCAGACAUAACAACUGCAUUUAUUUCCAUAAUUCCCCAUUUGAAUGGCCUUUUCUUUUUGCUUAGACAAUGCCUACGCCUAGCCACAGCAGCUCCCUCAUACAGACUCCGCAAGUCAAGAGACCGUGGAGGCAAAUGCAGGCAGCCAGCACACCUCGAACAGCCACCUUGACUGCGGAUGUAUCAGUAGAUUCCUGUUGUACAUAUGCUCACAAUAAACUUCAGUAAACUUGAACUUGAUAAUAAACUUGAAGGCAAAUGGGA
RNAcentral lists this long non-coding RNA (987 nucleotides) under Dermacentor andersoni. RNAcentral's name for it is "uncharacterized LOC126539914". The record is from RNAcentral. Lineage: Eukaryota; Metazoa; Arthropoda; Arachnida; Ixodida; Ixodidae.